RNAcentral lists this long non-coding RNA (696 nucleotides) under Helianthus annuus (common sunflower). RNAcentral's name for it is "hypothetical non coding rna". The record is from RNAcentral. Lineage: Eukaryota; Viridiplantae; Streptophyta; Magnoliopsida; Asterales; Asteraceae.
UGUUUUUGGACUCAACAAAAAUAAUUUACUCCAUUUGUUAAAGACUAUCUUACUCCUUAAUUAAAAGCUUAAUUAGCUCAUCAUCAUCCCUUAUAUACACCAGGUACCAAGAGUGAAUUUAUCUCUUAGUUGCUUUUCAACAUAAUGCUUGUGGACUCUGUUUAUACUCUUAAUGGUGCAGGCGAGGUGCCUGUGUAUGAAGAGUUUUGAUAUUUAAAUUUGAACAGACAUGUCACGGGUGUAGCAUAAUAGCAUAUAUUGAAAAGGUCUUCAAAUAAGCAAUUCCACCUUGCCGUCAAAACGUUUUACUUAUAAAUGGAUAGUAAUUUUAUCUACCCUUUUAGCUGACAUGUCACAGGUGUAGUAUGGGGCAAAAAGGCUUUAUAAGUAAAUGGAUGGUAAUUUAAUCUACCCUUUAGCAAAUUUGGAUAUCUGAAUUAAUCGAUAAUAGUUCACAGGUGAUACUUUCUCUUUAGCCAACACAAUAGUUAUCAGGGUUAGAUAUGACUUCAGUGACUGGCACAGGAUUUAGGCAUUGAUUGACAAUUUGACAUUGCUUUAUGGUAUUACACCCUGAGUCCCUGAGAAAUGAAAACCAUAGGUGAAAUAAGUCUAUCACAGUCCCACAUCUGCUGAGUCAACUAUACAAAGAUGAAGGGACUGACUAUAUAAACAGCGGCCCAAUAAAAGAAUAAG